Molecule: non-coding RNA, 86 nt
Organism: Flagelloscypha sp. PMI_526
Lineage: Eukaryota; Fungi; Basidiomycota; Agaricomycetes; Agaricales; Niaceae
Source: the annotation of a GenBank genome assembly
GCCCUGCUAGCUCAAUCGGAUAGAGCGUCAGACUCUUACACUUCGUGUUAAUCUGAAGGCUGCGAGUUCGACCCUCGCGUGGGGCU